GCCUGAAUAGCUUAACUGGUAGAGCAUCAGGCUUUUAACCUGAGGAUCCAGGGUUCAAGUCCCUGUUCAGGCA
Non-coding RNA from Budorcas taxicolor (takin), 73 nucleotides. The record is from the annotation of a RefSeq genome assembly. Lineage: Eukaryota; Metazoa; Chordata; Mammalia; Artiodactyla; Bovidae.